Molecule: ribosomal RNA, 425 nt
Filed under: uncultured bacterium
Lineage: Bacteria
Description: partial 16S ribosomal RNA
Rfam family: Bacterial small subunit ribosomal RNA
Source: RNAcentral
GUUAGGAAUAUUGGACAAUGGGCGCAAGCCUGAUCCAGCCAUGCCGCGUGAGUGAUGAAGGCCUUCGGGUUGUAAAGCUCUUUAGCCGAUGAUUAUAAUGACUGUAGUCGGAAAAUAAGCCCCGGCUAACUUCGUGCCAGCAGCCGCGGUAAUACGAAGGGGGCGAGCGUUAUUCGGAAUCACUGGGCGUAAAGCGUGCGUAGGCGGUUUUGUAAGUUAGGAGUGAAAGCCCAGGGCUCAACCUUGGAAUUGCUCUUAAAACUGCAAGGCUCGAAUCUCGGAGGGGAUAGCGGAAUUUCCAGUGUAGCAGUGAAAUGCGUAGAUAUUGGAAGGAACACCAGUGGCGUAAGCGGCUAUCUGGACGAGUAUUGACGCUGAGGCACGAAAGCGUGGGGAUCAAACAGGAUUAGAAACCCCAGUAGUCC